Long non-coding RNA from Hypanus sabinus (Atlantic stingray), 1026 nucleotides. RefSeq lists it as uncharacterized. The record is from RefSeq and is a predicted model, not a curated record. The transcript is spliced from 2 exons. NCBI's taxonomy places the organism in Eukaryota, Metazoa, Chordata, Chondrichthyes, Myliobatiformes, Dasyatidae.
AAUUUGCUUCCUGUCCCGUUAUAAAUCCAAAUCCAAACUCAUAAAGACAGGAAGGCUGACUGACGUUCACAUAAACUAAUCACCCUCCGAGUUCCCAUUUGAGCGACAGGCACUGCAGCCAAUGACAGCAGGCGUCAGUGUUAGGUCUGAGCUGCGAUAGGCUGGAGGAAAUCGCCACAUGACCAGCCCCUCCUCUUCCGCUCCGUCGCCAUGGCGGAGAUCAGCGAGUCGCUUCUGUCGGUGUCGCCGGCCUCGGCGCCCACAAGGACGGGUGUGAUUCCCCUUCGCGCCUCGGUGGGUCUGUUUCGGUGCCGUCUGUGGUGGCUGACGAAACAUGCUUUGACAGGGAGCGAGCGAGGUCCAAUGACUACAACUCCCAGAAGGCCCCACUGAUGACGUUGUGGUGUUGUUUAGGGCUCUCUGCAGUGUUUCCGGUGGUGGCCAGUGCUGUUGCCGUGACAACACGACUAGUUUCCGCAAAGGAUGUGUUCUGUAAAAACAGAUGAUGGUCGCCCAGGAGGCGCCGAUUUUCUUCAGCCUCUCAAAGAAGCAGAGAUGCUGCUGAGCUUUCUUGGCGAUAGUGUCCUUGUGGCUGGACAAGGACAGGCUGUCAGUGGUGUUCACUCUCAGGAGAUUGGAGCUCUCAACCCCCUUAUCCUCUGCCGUUGAUGUAAACAGGAAUGUCGGCAUCGCCCCGGCUGACUUCCUGUUGUCAGUAACCAGCUCUAUUGUGUUGGUGAAAUGGAGGGGGUGGGGAGUGUUUAUACCAGGUCACAAAGCUCUCCAGCUCCGACCCGACACGCGGGUGAAGAAGGUUUACUGGAGUAAAUUCCAACCGUGUGAAAACAGCACUGGCUCUGUGAACACGGGUGGAACUGUCCAGACGGACUGAGGGAUCUAUUUCCGCGCUUUCCCCGAAACUCGUCCUUCUCUCUCACUUUUCUCCCUUUCACCUUCCUCUCUCUAGUCUCUCUCCGCUUCUCCUCUCUCAUCCCAAACUCUACUAUCCCUCCCCUCACUCUCCUC